RNAcentral lists this small nuclear RNA (303 nucleotides) under Microcebus murinus (gray mouse lemur). RNAcentral describes it as "7SK RNA (ENSMICG00000035195.2)". It matches the Rfam family "7SK RNA". Rfam says of the family: 7SK was discovered as an abundant small nuclear RNA in the mid-70s but a possible function has only recently been suggested. Two independent studies have found that 7SK RNA binds the CDK9/cyclin T complex (known as elongation factor P-TEFb). The record is from Rfam by way of RNAcentral. Lineage: Eukaryota; Metazoa; Chordata; Mammalia; Primates; Cheirogaleidae.
GGAUGUGAGGAUGAUCUGGCUGCGACAUCUGUCACCCCAUUGAUCAACAGGGUUGAUUCGGCUGAUCUGGCUGGCUAGGCUGGUGUCCCCUUCCUCCCUCACCACUCCAAGUGUGUCCCUCCAAAGCUGAGUGCUUGGCCAAAGAGGAUGACCUUCCACAAUAGAGGAGGACCAUUCUUCAGUCAAGGGUAUAGGAGUUGCUGUGCUCCCCUGCUAGAAUCUCCAAACAAGCUCUCGAGAACCUUCUGACAUGACAGCUUCUCAGCAAAGGAAUGUCCUCCAUCAGGAACUAUUGAGUUCUCC